Molecule: ribosomal RNA, 445 nt
Filed under: uncultured bacterium
Lineage: Bacteria
Description: bacterial SSU rRNA
Rfam family: Bacterial small subunit ribosomal RNA
Source: RNAcentral
ACGAACGCUGGCGGCGUGGAUAAGGCAUGCAAGUCGUGGGCCGCAGUAAUGCGGCCCGGCGAACGGGGUAGUAACACGUGGGUACUUACCUCAAAGACGGGCAUAACUAGUCGAAAGAUUAGAUAAUUCCCGAUAGUUCCCGCAGUAAUGCGGGAUAAAGGAGCAAUCCGCUUUGAGAAAGGCCUGCGGGCUAUCAGCUAGUUGGUAAGGUAAUGGCUUACCAAGGCUAUGACGGCUAGGGGGGGUGAGAGCCUGUUCCCCACCAAUGGUACUGCGACACGGACCAUACACCUACGGGUGGCUGCAGUCGAGAAUCUUCCACAAUGGGCGAAAGCCUGAUGGAGCGACGCCGCGUGCAUGAUGAAGCUCUUCGGAGUGUAAAGUGCUUUUAUAGGGGAAAAACUUACGUGAUUGUACCCUAAGAAUAAGGGGUUGCUAAACUCGU